UCCCUGGUGGCUCAGAUGGUAAAGCGUCUGCCUACAACGCAGGAGACCCAGCUUCAAUCCCUAGGUGGGGAA
This 72-nucleotide transfer RNA is filed under the name Bos taurus (domestic cattle). It matches the Rfam family "tRNA". From Rfam's summary of the family: Transfer RNA (tRNA) molecules are approximately 80 nucleotides in length. Their secondary structure includes four short double-helical elements and three loops (D, anti-codon, and T loops). Lineage: Eukaryota; Metazoa; Chordata; Mammalia; Artiodactyla; Bovidae. The record is from Rfam by way of RNAcentral.